UAGCCGUAAACGAUACUCGCUAGGUGUCGGCCACGGUGCGACCGUUGUCGGUGCCGUAGGGAAGCCGUGAAGCGAGCCACCUGGGAAGUACGGCCGCAAGGCUGAAACUUAAAGGAAUCGGCGGGGGAGCACCACAACGGGUGGAGCUUGCGGUUUAAUUGGAUUCAACGCCGGGAAGCUCACCGGAUAAGACAGCGGAAUGAUUGCCGGGCUGAAGACCCUGCAUGACCAGCUGAGAGGUGGUGCAUGGCGUAGUCGUGU
Molecule: ribosomal RNA, 261 nt
Filed under: uncultured archaeon
Lineage: Archaea
Description: partial 16S ribosomal RNA
Rfam family: Archaeal small subunit ribosomal RNA
Source: RNAcentral